UCCCAAACUGGGAUUAGAUACCCCACUAUGCUUAGCCGUAAACACAAACAUUCCACAACAAAAAUAUUCGCCAGAGUACUACUAGCAACAGCUUAAAACUCAAAGGACUUGGCGGUGCUUUAAACCCACCUAGAGGAGCCUGUUCUAUAAUCGAUGAACCCCGCUAAACCUCACCACUUCUCGCUAAACCAGUCUAUAUACCGCCAUCUUCAGCAAAC
Molecule: ribosomal RNA, 218 nt
Filed under: Thrichomys apereoides (common punare)
Lineage: Eukaryota; Metazoa; Chordata; Mammalia; Rodentia; Echimyidae
Description: partial small subunit ribosomal RNA
Source: RNAcentral